Molecule: ribosomal RNA, 253 nt
Filed under: uncultured bacterium
Lineage: Bacteria
Description: partial 16S ribosomal RNA
Rfam family: Bacterial small subunit ribosomal RNA
Source: RNAcentral
UACGUAGGUGGCAAGCGUUGUCCGGAAUUAUUGGGCGUAAAGCGCGCGCAGGCGGUUUCUUAAGUCUGAUGUGAAAGCCCACGGCUCAACCGUGGAGGGGCAUUGGAAACUGGGGGACUUGAGUGCAGAAGAGGAGAGCGGAAUUCCACGUGUAGCGGUGAAAUGCGUAGAGAUGUGGAGGAAUACCAGUGGCGAAGGCGGCUCUCUGGUCUUUAACUGACGCUGAUGCGCGAAAGCGUGGGGAGCAAACAGG